CCCUGAAUGAUAGAAAGAAACAACCAAAGUUCUCGUGUUUAAACAUGUUUUGUUUUGAGCUAUAUCAUGACUGCUUAUGAAGUAUUAUUUUGCGUGUUUUAUUUAAAUCAGUGAUCUGCAGACUAAUUAAAGUUUAAAUUAUUGUACCACACAUUUUUAAAUAAAUAAAACGUUAAAUAAAAGUUUUCAAAAGCCAAAAGAUGGAAUUGAAGAGGAUGAUAUAGUAAUACAUAUUUCAUCUCACUGUCAAUUCGAAGCACGCAAUAGAAGCUUCGCCAACAAAGAUCUUUGGUCAACAUCAAGGGCAUACAUAUUUCAAAUCUCAUACGGCGUGUUAAAGGUACACAACCUUGUCACUUAUGGUAACAGCGAAGAACUCUCGAAGGGAUAGGAAUAUGUGCUGCAAGGAAAUCCAGAACUAUGGAUGCACACGCUGCUACAUCGAACACAAAUCAUUUACACACCAGAUAUUAAGUUUAAUGUUACUUUUUUUACGUGAAAUUAAACCUUUUGGUCAACACAAGCACGUGUUGGAACGACAUGGUUUAGGUGCUUUUGUAACCGUUUAUUAUCGCGACGUGUGUCAAUAGGGUUUUUCCAAUGAGCUAGAGGGCAAAGCAGUUGCAGUAUUUUUGGGCUUUCCGGCACUUGGCUGUGCCAUUAGCAGCUAAAACACAGAAAUUAAAGGGAUGUCUUUUUUGAUACAUAACGUAGUUGUAUCGCUUUACAAGGACAUGGAUUCACCGAAAUUAGUUCAAUGGAAAUACUACAGCAAGAGCAUGGAUGUUAUGACUAGAACGUUUCCCGUGCUAUAUUUGAAUUCCUGAAACAUAAGAAAACCUCCUCCCAGAAAUUGGAUGAAUCUCGUACUAGUGAAAUUAAUGAAAGAACAGAUCUUACAAAAACAUAAUGUGCGUAGCUUACACUUCCAGGCCGCUCGGGGUAUUUGACAUUUGCCACUCUUCCUCCAGCCUUUGUCAGAUAGCAAAAAUUGUUCAACAGUUCAAUACGUUUUACAUAUGUAUAUAGUGUAGUACGAUAAUACAUGUAUAAAGUAAAUAUAAUAAUAAACACCUAAAUGGCAUGAUA
Long non-coding RNA from Zeugodacus cucurbitae (melon fly), 1089 nucleotides. RefSeq lists it as uncharacterized. The transcript is spliced from 4 exons. The record is from RefSeq and is a predicted model, not a curated record. NCBI's taxonomy places the organism in Eukaryota, Metazoa, Arthropoda, Insecta, Diptera, Tephritidae.